RNAcentral lists this ribosomal RNA (492 nucleotides) under uncultured bacterium. RNAcentral's name for it is "partial 16S ribosomal RNA". It matches the Rfam family "Bacterial small subunit ribosomal RNA", at positions 28 to 507 of the family's 1533-position model. The record is from RNAcentral.
GAUGAACGCUAGCUACAGGCUUAACACAUGCAAGUCGAGGGGAAACGACAUCGAAAGCUUGCUUUUGAUGGGCGUCGACCGGCGCACGGGUGAGUAACGCGUAUCCAACCUGCCCAUCACUUGGGUAUAACCUUGCGAAAGUAAGACUAAUACCCAAUGAUAUCCCACGAAGGCAUCGGAAUGGGAUUAAAGAUUUAUCGGUGAUGGAUGGGGAUGCGUCUGAUUAGCUUGUUGGCGGGGUAACGGCCAACCAAGGCAACGAUCAGUAGGGGUUCUGAGAGGAAGGUACCCCACAUUGGAGCUGAGACACGGUCCAAACUCCUACGGGAGGCAGCAGUGAGGAAUAUUGGUCAAUGGGCGAGAGCCUGAACCAGCCAAGUAGCGUGCAGGAAGACGGCCCUAUGGGUUGUAAACUGCUUUUAUAAGGGAAUAAAGUGGGUCACGUGUGACUUUUUGCAUGUACCUUAUGAAUAAGGACCGGCUAAUUCCGUG